AGAAGAAUCACUUGAACACCGGAAGCAGAGGUUGCAGUGAGCUGAGAUCGUGCCACUGCACUCCAGCCUGGGUGACAGAU
Molecule: small nuclear RNA, 80 nt
Filed under: Homo sapiens (human)
Lineage: Eukaryota; Metazoa; Chordata; Mammalia; Primates; Hominidae
Description: partial ncRNA
Source: RNAcentral